GCCUCCGGCCGCCUGUGACAGGGGAGCGGGGGUCAGUCGCGCCAGCAGGGGUGGGGCUUCCUGUCGGAGCAGACAGGAGGCCGGGAGGGGAGAAGACAGGCCGAGUUCUCACCGAGAGAAAAGCCGCAGGCCUGGCGCCGGCUCCUGCAGGUUCUGAGAACCCUCAGGGAGACUCCGGGGGCGUCACACGGCUCCGGCUACGGGGCCACCCCCACACGCAUGGGGCUGGCGGGUGGCGCCCGGCGCCCAUUGGCCAGAGCCCCAUCCACGCGGCGGGGGAGAGCGGCGCAGGUUCCCGGGCAGGGACGCGGCCUGCCAGCACCCAGCGCUCAAAACCAGCCCAUCAGUUCUGGAGAAAGGGCCAGAGCCUCCCUCGCCCCCACCCACCCCGAGCUCCGUCAACCCCAGGAGAGGGACGUGUCUUCACGGAGCUGGAAUGACUCCUCUGAGAUUCCUAUAGCAAGAAAACGCCCCGUGAGCCCCUUCUAUCGACGAGAGAGAGAAGCAGGAAGACAGCUGGAACAGGACAUACCUCUUCGGGCCUGGAAGGCCACUGUCCCCAGCAGGGCACACUUGGGCCCCAGGGACGGCAGAUGAUCAGGGACAAAACUGCCCACUGAUUCCUACUCCGCCAGAGGUCAGCAAGCAGGUACCCAGUUCUGGGGUGACGCACCAGUAAAGACACAGCUCCCACCCAAGUGCCAGGCAGAGCCAGAGGGACACCCAGAGGGCCCAGCAGCGAGAUCGGCACCCACCCCAGCGAGGCCGGGCUGGUCGGCGGGUGUGCACAGCGCGCCUCCAGCUCCAGCUCCAAAACCGGCACCGGCACGGGCACCGGGACCAGCACGAGCACCUCCCAUGCACAGAUGCCACAGGACCGUCUGAACACAGAGCAGCGCUGACAAGGCCACGCCCUGCAGACACGCGGCCUCCGAUACACAGCUCACACGGGGGGGACAAGAGCCGGCCCGGGGGGCUGUCCGGCAGGAGACGUCAAUCUAAGUCAGUGGGAAUAAAGUCACCGUCCCCACCCAGGUCCACAGAGCCCAAAUUUUACUCAGAGGCACUUGAGGGGUGUGUGGACCUUGGACUGAGGAUCUGAAUGUGACUAUCGGGACCGCCUGUCCUACCUGGAGCUGCCCAUGUUCCCAGAACCAGAAGCACAGUGCCCGCUGGGUACCGGCCCCACCAGGGGCACGGAUGUCCAGGAGCGUGUGUUCAGGGGUAAGUGGCGGCUGCAGCACCUGCCCUCUGCACCGGCUCCCACAGCUGAGGGACCGCUCAAGGCCAGUGGGGCCAGGUCUAAGGCUCCCCCCCCCGCCUUGUCUGAGAUGCCUCCCCAGCCCCCACCCCCUCUCUCCGUGCCGUGUCUAGGCACCCUUGGCACGCGUCACAGCGCCAGGCCUUCCCACCGUGGAGGUGUGCACUCAGAGCUCACGAGAGCACUGGAUGACACAUUCAGCUGGACAGGGUGCGUGGCACCCCUCCCCACCGCGCAGCCGGGGACUGUCUGGUUUGUGUUCUGGCUGGCCGUGUACCCCAAGGACAGGAACACAUGCCGCCCUGGGCGCCACACGGUGGAGCUGACAUCAACUGCCACCCGGGUCCCCUCUGGCCCAACAGUGCCAGGUGCUGGCUGGGAGCAUCGUCACCGUGGCCGGCCAUUGUGCAGAGAUGUCCGUGGGCCCAGAGCUCCGGAUCCCCACCGAAGGCGUCCCGACAGAGGAAACGACUCUCGGGUUCCCGAACGCACAGCAGCAGGGCCAGGCCCCGGUGGCUGGGACAGAGCCAGGGACCCACGAGGGCUCGGCGGCAGCGAUCGGCUUCACCCAGCAGCACCAGGCAAGGGGCAGGCACAGCCUGACCCGGUAAGGCUGCGGAGCUGAGCCACAGGAGCCACAGGAGCCACAGUGGCCAAAAAGCCCUCUCUGGUGGCGUGUGCGUAGGAAGUGACGGCCAGCGCUCCACUGACACAUCUGGUCUGACAUUGACACCCUUUGCUGCCUCGGGUGCAGAAUUCUGGUCACUUCCCCAGGGAUCAGGAAAGAGAAUGUCGAAGUCACAGGUGGGACGAGGGGCAGAAUCCCCAACCUCCCAAGACCCCAGCUCACUGUGGGCGGGACCCCACAGGGCCCAAAAGGACCGAGGACCGAUGUCCAGACCCAGGCGAGGCUCCCCAGGGCCCAGGAGGUGAGCCCCUUCCUGGCGUCAUGGCGGUGGGAGAACUCACCAGACCCCAUAACGACACGGAGCCUCAGACCACGCGCGUCCUCCUGGACGCACGGUGUUCCGCCGCCUGCCGGAACCACGGCCAGGCCACGUGCCAUCGGCACCUUGGCAGGAGCAGCUGUAAAGAAGGGCUGCCCGUGGUCUACACGUCCUGCAGCCUUUCAGUGGCCAAACCCCCACGGCCUCCACACCUGUGCUCCAGCGGAGCCCAGCCCCACGGAGAGUCGCCACGCAGGAGUGUACGGGCAGACCCCGCCGCCUCGACCGCCAGGGUGCUCCCAAGGCAGGGACGGUCACUGUGGGCGGUGCCCCGCUGCAGGGCCUCAGCCUGGUGCUCCCGACACUGUGGUCGUCCACCCUGCCUGUUACGCCUAAUUAUUAAUUAGAAGCCGAACAACAGGUCGUAGCCCUGUCGCUCUCACCGCCAAUCGGUGCGACGGUCCCUGCUUUGAGCCUUCGGACACGGGGCUCUGAGCCAACCUCUGCAGAGAGGGCUCACACACCCCGAUCAAAACGAAACUGGCAGACAGAGGUGUGCGCCCACCCAGUGGCCCCCGAGGGGCCCUGCCGUCCCAGCGCCGAGCAGCCGGCACCUCUCUCGGCCUGGUUUGGCCACACCAGGGAAGGUCAUGGUCGUCGGGCUCACGGAUGAAGUUCUCGCGGUGCCUGAGGCAGAGGGCGCCGCUGAAGGCCGUGGCACGGGCAGAGGGGCUGGCCUCCACCACUCUGGGCGAUCUUCGGUCUUCAAAGAGCAAGCAAUUACUCUAAGGUCUGGGGCAGCUACCUGCUGGCAGGGCACACAAGGAGGAGGUGACGGUGCUAGAGGAGGCCACUCUGUCCGUCACCGCACAGAAAAUGAGGGCUGAGGGGCCUGGGGCUCCAGGGGACCCUGCGUCGCCCCCGGGAGCCCUGAAGGCCACAGUCACGUUGUCAGCAGUGGGUUUUGCACGAGAAGCAGCAUGCGAACCUGGGGCGGGGGGGGGGGGGGGGGAGGGGGGGGCUGUGGAGCAGGGGCCUCAGACACGGAGCUUCCUGACUCCACAUGCCCCCAGGGAGGGAGGGCUGGCUCGCUGCUGCCCCUGAGCAGGACCCUCACACUAAGGCCCACGGCGCCAGCAGCCUCCACAGGGAGAUGGCAGAGGGUCCCCAGACAACGCCUAGACACCAAGGAGGCUGCAGCCAGACGGUGGAAAAGGCGGCCUGGAGGCCUGGAGGACCUGGUCCUCUAGACCUUCCCGUUUAUUUACCAGCACACAAAGAGAGGCCUAGAGGACCAGAACCGGCACAAAUCCACCGCUGAGACCCCCGGCCUGGGCCUCAGGCAGCCUGACCCUCAGGCGACUGCGCAGACCUCGAACAGGCCUCACUGGUAAAGAGGCACAGUUGAGACUCAAAUGACAGAACGUGGAGAACACCAGACCAGCACCCGGCAAAGCGGCUGCAAGGCCAACAGACGUCACUUCCGCCCAGGCCACCACCACGGACGGCCACAUCAGACACGCCACGUCUCGGCCCGGGAGCGAGGGCGAUGCCUGACCCCAGGAGGGUGUGGAGAAGCACCCGGAGUCCCCACCGGAGCCGCCACCAGAGCCACUCGGCAGAGCAAAGCGUCGUCCUGCACGGCGACCCUCAACUUGUUAAAAGGACAGCGCCAACCCCGGCGUCCACCCCCCCCCCCGCAGGGCCCCGUGUCUGCACGAAGCCAGGGUUUGCUGCCGAGGCCCCGCGAGCGGCACAGUGUGUGCGCGGCCGAGAUCCCUUCAGGAAAGCAGCCGGGCGUCGGGCAGGCCGUCGGCCUCUCGACGGAGCCAGCUUCCGUUCUGCACAACCGGACGGCAGAGUGGGCACCCGUGCCAAGAGACUAACCUGAGGGGCUCGUCCCAACUCCCUCCGGGCAGCGGGACCCCCACAGGAAGUUCACAGAGCCGGGUGUCCGUGCUGUAGUGCAGGACACUCCUGCCCGCGCCCCCUCCGGCCUUCCAAGGGCCCACGACGCAGCCUCGGGUCUGACCCGCGAGCAGCUGCCCACACACGGCCUCGAGCCACGGUCGCUGGAGCGGUCAAGUCGGUCCGGACUGUCCCGCACCGAAGGCCGGGGCGGCCGUGCCAGGAGGCGGGCGGAGUCUCCUCAGACACCCAAGGCUGUUCUGCUUCCAGCGGAAGGGUCUCUGGGAGGUGCCGACAGCGCCAACGUGUCCCGCGGAGGCUGAGGCCCGGGGGCGAGGUCACUGGCCGCCCGUUCGCGCGGCCGAUCUCGUCCGGGAGGCCGGGAUGACAGGCCGCAGGGGCGCACCCCCCGGAGGCCGCGCUACCCAGUGGUGGCAUCACCCACACGCUCAUGUUCUAGAAAUGGAAAGAAUGGCCACCAGGAGAGCCACGUCCUGCGUGGACGCUCCCGAGGGCCACCGGUCACGGGCAAAAGAGGCCGAGUGCGGCGCGAGACCCCGCUUCCGGGCCGGCUUCUUUCAGAACCUUUCUGUAGCGCCGCCACCAUUAUUGGCUUAUGUGACUUCCUAUGUGGCUGCGAAGUGCCUCCCGGAAAGGGCGCGACCCCAGCCUCGUGUCUGCUUCUCAAACGUGCGCUGCGCUCUCCAAGUGGAGACAGCCCACGCCGCUGGCCCAGCACCCCUGUGGGGAGGCCCCUUCAGGUUCUCGUGCCCAAGACUGCUUCUGUGCGGCUUCUCUACAAAGAACUGCCUCCUUGCACCAGCUCGGAGAAAACUCCGGGACUUCGAGGUCUACAGGGAAGGGGGGGUGGCCCGCGGACGCCCGCAAGGGUUUCUGGCAGAGCUGGGGACGCGGCCACAGCCCCAGCCUCCCCGACAGCCCACCCGCUCAGGUGACACCGAAGCACGAGGACAAGAUAAAAUAGGAAAGCGGAAAUUCAUCAAGGUCAAGACCUCUCUGGGCUUCAAAGGAUGCCACCAAGAACGUGGAAAGACCACCACAGAAAGGGAGGAAAAGACGUGCCAAUCAGGUACCUGAUAAGGGACCGGGAUCGGAAUUCACGAAGAACCAAAACUCAGCCAAGUACCUCACUACGAAGGAGGCAAAGGACGGGACCAGACCUCCCGCCAAACGAGACCCACAACGAGCACGCGAAGAGGGUCGGCACCACGGCCAUCAGGGAAACGCAAAUGAAAGCCGCACACGCUGCCGCUGAGGGAGGGGGGGGGGCCUGGAGCGUGGCGGGCACGGCCGCCGAGGGAGGUGGGCGCCCACAGACGUGACCCGGGGGCCGCGCUCCUCAGUGAAGCCCCGAGAGAACCGCGAAGACGGGCCCAACGGCCAUCCGAGUGACUGACCGUCCACGCCGUCGAAAAUGUGCGUGUACCCGCGAGUCCCCACGACUGAACGACCAGGCCUCACCGUUCACACGAACACGGGUCCACACGUAUCUCGUAUAUUCCGUGUAUCGCACGCUGCGUCUUAUGAUAAGGUAGACUACGGGAAACAGCGCUACUAAGAAAAUCAAAAGGAGGAAGAAAAGCAUUUGCGGGUCUGUAUCUGUCGACACCGAUACCGUAGUCCCGUGGACUGUUUACAAGACGAACCGUCCCUCGGGACCUACAUCGAUGUUGUCUUCCGUGACGGGAGACACUGCAGAUGUUACACGCGUGACGAGCACUGACACCAAAGAUGAAAAGGUGGCGUGGAAAAAAAAUUCGUAUGUAUUUACAAGCACAACGAUGCACGCACUGAUUAUAAAGCAGACGGGACCGCUUUCUGGCAGCCUAGCCAGGGCACAAACGUAGGAAUCGUUACGAAGCUUUUUAUGGCAUCUAGGAUUACAGUCAUAUUCUUUUUUUUUUUAAGUGUACUUAUUUACUUUGAAAGAGAAAGCGAGCAAGGGAGGGGCAGACAGAGGGAUAGAGAAUCCCAAGCGGGCUCGGCACUAUCAGCACGGAGCCCGAUGAGGAGCUCGAACUCCCAAACCAUGAGGUCACAACCCAAGCCGAAGUCGAGAGUCCAACAACACUUGGGGCACCUGAGUGGCUCAGUCAGCUGAGUGUCCAACUUCGGCUCAGGUCAUGAUCCCACGGUUCGUGAGUCCGAGCCCCACGUCAGGCUGACUGCAGUCAGCACAGAGCUGGCUUCGGAUCCUCUGUCCUUCUCUCUCUCUGUCCCUCCCCUGCUCACGUGCUCUCUCCCAAAAAUAAAAUGAGAUAAUUAAAAAAAAAAAAAAAAAAAAAAAAGGAGUUGGACACUUAACUGACUGAGCCACCCAGCGCCCCCAGUCAUAGUCUUACUAUAGAAUUGGAAACGCUGUUCCAUUUUUAAGACCGUUUACCAGUGAUGACAGGACAGUGUGCAGUCUCUCCAAUUAGGAGAAAGGGGACAACUACACUAAUUCUCUGAAAGCAAAGUUACAAGACAGUAAGCCAACUAACACAUGACUGGUCUUGUAUUAAGUACCACUCCGCUCAUGCCUGUGUAAGGAGAGGCUGUGAAUGGCACCAUGGAGGGACUAUGUCGUGUGCACACAUUUUGACAAAUGUUAACUUUUUAUAAGCUUGUGAGUUUUAUUGCAAAAAUGAUAAAAUAGACCAACACCUAAAUGUAUCGUAUGCAUUCACAACAUACCUAACUUUUUAAUUUUUUCCGUAUCUCCAGGCUACAUGGCUCAUCCACAAGUUUUCCAAACUGUCGCUCAUCUCCAAAAAUUUUUCCAACGUGGUUCUUGAGUAAAAACCUGCACGUAAGUGGACCCGCACGGUUCAAGCCCGUGUUGUUCAAGGGUCAGCCGUACUAGGAUUCUGCAAGGUGUUACCGAUGGAGCAGUCUAGAUGAAGUAUACAAGAGAACGUCUCUGUUAUUCCUUAUGGUCGCGUCCAUCUACGAUUAUCUCAAAAAAAAAGAUGAUUAAAAAUAUACAAGGUGUGGAGUGCCCGGUGGCUCAGUCGAUCAAGCGUCUGACUCGUGGUUUCGGCUCAGGUCAUGAUCACGGCUCGAGGGAUCGAGCCGCACGUCGGGCUCCGCGCUGAUAGUGCGGAGCCCGCUUGGGAUUCUCUCUCUCCCUCUCUACAUAAAUAAACAUUAAAACAAUUAUUUUAAAUAAAAACAAAAAAAGCAAGCCGCCGCGUGACACUAGGAUGGCGACACUUUUUUAAAAGAGGGCCAGGACAAAGCGCUGGGGACGCGGUGAGAGAUCCGGGCCUCCGUGCACCGCUGGCGGGAAGGUGAAGGGCUGUGGCCGCUGCGGGGCAGUUAGGUGGUUUCUCACAAGGUUAAAUAAUUAGCCUAUGACCCGGCAAGCCCGGUCCUGGGCGUCCACUCAAGAUUACUGAAAACGUACGUCCAACACGAACACUUGCACACGAGUGUUCACACAGCAUGAUGCGCCGCAGCCGGCACGGAGACAUCCCACGAGCCCUCCCCCCAGAGGAGCGGACCAGCAGGUGCACGGCCCGGACCCGCGCUCCGCCUCAGAAGGAGCGAAGCCUGGACGCGCACGAUGCUCAGGGAGAAGUCCACACAGAGGGCCCCACGCCUGCUGUGUGACUCUGUUUCAAUGAAACGCCCAGAAGAGGCGAAUCCACAGCCAGGAAGCGGAGUGGUUGCUGGGUGUGGGGGGAGGGGAGUGAGGGCGCCGGAGUUUCUUUCUGCGGUGACGAGAAUACUCUAGAAGGUGAUAAUAGCGAUGGUCGCAUAUACUAAAAACCACCGAACCGUACUCUGACAAAAGGUGCGAUUUCUGUUACAUGAACUAUAUCUCAAUAAAACUAUUAAGAAAUUCAAAAAAAAAAAAAAAAAAAAAAAAGUGAAAUGAACUGUUGGCUGAAAACCCAAAC
Molecule: long non-coding RNA, 8021 nt
Organism: Leopardus geoffroyi (Geoffroy's cat)
Lineage: Eukaryota; Metazoa; Chordata; Mammalia; Carnivora; Felidae
Exons: 2
Source: RefSeq, a predicted model, not a curated record